GAUGAACGCUGGCGGCGUGCCUAAUACAUGCAAGUCGAGCGAACAGACGAGGAGCUUGCUCCUCUGACGUUAGCGGCGGACGGGUUAGUAACACGUGGAUAACCUACCUAUAAGACUGGGAUAACUUCGGGAAACCGGAGCUAAUACCGUAUAAUAUAUUGAACCGCAUGGUUCAAUAGUGAAAGACGGUUUUGCUGUCACUUAUAGAUGGAUCCGCGCCGCAUUAGCUAGUUGGUAAGGUAACGGCUUACCAAGGCAACGAUGCGUAGCCGACCUGAGAGGGUGAUCGGCCACACUGGAACUGAGACACGGUCCAGACUCCUACGGGAGGCAGCAGUAGGGAAUCUUCCGCAAUGGGCGAAAGCCUGACGGAGCAACGCCGCGUGAGUGAUGAAGGUCUUCGGAUCGUAAAACUCUGUUAUUAGGGAAGAACAAAUGUGUAAGUAACUAUGCACGUCUUGACGGUACCUAAUCAGAAAGCAACGGCUAACUACGUG
Molecule: ribosomal RNA, 497 nt
Filed under: uncultured bacterium
Lineage: Bacteria
Description: partial 16S ribosomal RNA
Rfam family: Bacterial small subunit ribosomal RNA
Source: RNAcentral